UCCCCUGGCACAGGCUCUCUUGCUCCCUUGGCUGGGAUGAAGUGCUGUGGCCCCAGGCAUGGGGCACACUGAGAUGAACUGAACAGCUUUUUGAAAAUGUCUUGAGAUCCUUGGCAAUGGAGAGAGAUUGCAGUGCAAGCACUUUUCUGGAUUACUCUGUCACCGAUGUCAAAUCAAAGCAUCAAGGAUAUAAAUCUUCAGAAAACAUCUGGCCUCGCUUCAGCCAGGUUAUGCAAUGCCUCAAGUACAUCCAGCAGCAGAUUAUGCUGUGUUCUCCAUUUGUGCAAUGCAAACUAAUGUGAAUAUCAAGUCACAUCAGUGGUCUAGACAAGUAGUCGAGAGAUAAAGACGGCAGCCCAAAGUGGGAAGUUCGCCCUUUCAGCUCAACUUAAAGGUCAUCAUGUUCGAUCAAGAUAUUGUCUCGUGACAGCUUUGUUGGUAUUCUCAGCAGUGCUUGGGAACAGUGGUUGAUCUUGCAUCACAAACUGUAAAGGAAGUGGUGCGUAUGUGUAAUCCAGAAAUAAUGGAUAUUCCUUUUAUAUUUUAACU
Molecule: non-coding RNA, 549 nt
Organism: Meleagris gallopavo (turkey)
Lineage: Eukaryota; Metazoa; Chordata; Aves; Galliformes; Phasianidae
Source: RefSeq, a predicted model, not a curated record